GUUCAGACUUCAGAGACAAGUUGAGAUGAUCUCUAGGUGGUGAUGUUCAGACUUCAGAGACAAGUUGAGAUGAUCUCUAGGUGGUGAUGUUCAGACUUCAGAGACAAGUUGAGAUGAUCUCUAGGUGGUGAUGUUCAGACUUCAGAGACAAGUUGAGAUGAUCUCUAGGUGGUGAUGUUGGAUGCUCAGAUGAUUAUCAGCAUGCAUGAAGUUAUCACUACGAUAAUAGAACAUUGCAUUAACACUUAUUUCACUAUGGGUAGUGUCUGCUUGUCAAGAAAAUGACAAAGAAAAGUAUUUGUUGAACGAAAACGAAUUGAAAAUGCUAAAAAGUCUCAGUGAAUAUUUA
Molecule: long non-coding RNA, 349 nt
Organism: Xenia sp. Carnegie-2017
Lineage: Eukaryota; Metazoa; Cnidaria; Anthozoa; Malacalcyonacea; Xeniidae
Exons: 2
Source: RefSeq, a predicted model, not a curated record